RNAcentral lists this ribosomal RNA (253 nucleotides) under uncultured bacterium. RNAcentral describes it as "partial 16S ribosomal RNA". It matches the Rfam family "Bacterial small subunit ribosomal RNA", at positions 524 to 776 of the family's 1533-position model. The record is from RNAcentral.
UACGGAGGGUGCAAACGUUGCUCGGAAUCAUUGGGCGUAAAGCGCACGUAGGCGGUUCGGUAAGUCGGAUGUGAAAUCCCUCGGCUUAACCGGGGAACUGCGUCUGAUACUGGAUGGCUUGAGUGUGGGAGAGGGAUGCGGAAUUCCAGAUGUAGCGGUGAAAUGCGUAGAUAUCUGGAGGAACACCGGUGGCGAAGGCGGCAUCCUGGACCAUUACUGACACUGAAUAGCGAAAGCCAGGGGAGCAAACGGG